CAAUUAUUAAGGUAGGUAGAGAUUGUCCAUUACAACUUUGCCAAAAAGAUUGUCCUUUACCUCAGCAAUGAUAGUAAUGUCAAUGGAAUCCCCAAAGGGUAAGACACUACUAUUCACAGCAAACAAUUGAAAGCUUUGAAUCUCAGCCAUGACUUUCACCAGAAUUCCCUUGUGCUUCUCGCAGUGAAUCCGAAUCAGCAUCUCUUUCCCUGACACUCUUGCUUGCACUUGUACGGAUGAAUCAGUAGCACCUUCAAUACUCUCAUCACAUGAUGAGUUAUCAUCAUCAUCAUCAUCAUCAUCGAUACUAUGGUCUGGUUUCUUCAGAACAACCACGGACUCUACCUUUGUUUUCUUGUUUUGUUCUUCCAAAACUUCCAAACGCUCUUUAAGCUCUUUCACGUAGAUUAUAGACUCAGCUAAUACAGAAGCCUUGUCCAUCUACCAAAUUUUAUAAACAGUAUUUGAUCAGAAGAUGUUAACAAUUCAUGAAGAAAAUAAAAAUACAAUGAUUUAAGUGCUGUCUAACUAGUGGGGUAAUCAAAAUUGAUUUAUUGUCUGAACACUGACACCAGACACAACAUCGACAGCAACAUGUCAAUAUCACUAAUUAUUCGUAAAAUUGACAUUAUUGAAUGUAAUAAUGUGUAUUAGUGUCGUGUUGGACAUGAUGCGUGUCAAACAUGGAACACGCCUUCAAACAUAAGUGUGAAUGCUCAAAGCUUAGUGUACCUUUUUCAAGUUAGGAACAAGAGCUGCAAGAGCAAUGAAGCUUUGGCUAAGUUUCUCUCUUCGCUUUCUCUCAGCCAUGAUAUGAUCAUCAGCGUUGGCUCGAGACCUUUUGGUUUGAGAGGUUUUUGUUGCAAAGUUUUGAUUUUUGGAUAACCCUAUAGGAUUUUGAGUUGAGACAUGAAUGUUUCUUAUUUGGGGUGGAGACACUAACACUGUUUUGUUUUGUUUUGACUUUGAGAUUAAGGUAGGGGUGAGUCCACAAAAUUGAGGGGUGUUGGUAGCAGGUGAAUUUGGGAGGUUGUCAAAAGACAAAAUCUGAGAGUGCAAAGAUGAGUUAGAUGAUGAUGGAGAAAGUUUUGGUGAAAUGGUUUCAAUGAUGCUGUUGUCACUAAAGAUUGUGUUCAGCUCCAUGGUUGGUCUCUCAAUUUCAAAAUCAAAGUCAAAAGAGUCAAAAUUUGUUUCAUCAGUGAAUGAGUUGGUGAAAGUUGUGGAAUUGGACUCUGAACUCAAACAUUGUUGUUGGGUUUGUUCUUGUGGAAGAAACUCUUCCUCAUCAGCAUCAAGGAAGUUUAGGUUGCAUUCUUCAGGAAAUAAAUUAUACUCAUCCAUUUCCUGCAACAACAAAAAAAUUCAAAUUCAAAUGAUAAAGAAUUUACUUAUAAUCAAUGAUAUGUUAAUUUUCCUUUUAAUUUUUUUACCAAAUCAGAUAGCCAUUUGCUGGUUUCUUCUGAUACGUUCAUUGGUGUGUUGUUGAUUUCCUCCAUUAUGACACUUGUGUAAUGAAGUGUUGCUCCUUCAAACAAGGAAGAGUGAUAAAAUUCACUAUUUUGUACUUUCAAGCUUUGUGCUGAAUUGGAGUCCCCAUUAUUUGAU
RNAcentral lists this long non-coding RNA (1605 nucleotides) under Medicago truncatula (barrel medic). RNAcentral's name for it is "lncRNA gene25754". Lineage: Eukaryota; Viridiplantae; Streptophyta; Magnoliopsida; Fabales; Fabaceae. The record is from RNAcentral.